Molecule: RNA transcript, 2100 nt
Organism: Oryza brachyantha (malo sina)
Lineage: Eukaryota; Viridiplantae; Streptophyta; Magnoliopsida; Poales; Poaceae
Gene name: cell number regulator 13-like
Exons: 2
Source: RefSeq, a predicted model, not a curated record
UGAUGAACGAAUAACUCGAUUUUGAUUUCAGAGUCCAUGAGAGGUGAUGAUUUGGGGAGCAAACUAUAAGCACUAAAAGCAUCAGAAGUGAAAAAUCUCUGAACAGUGAACAUAUGAUCGGAUGCUAUCAGGUGAAAUGUUGUAAAGUGUCUGAAACUCAAAAUAUAGGAACUUAAACUUGUAAACUACAGUACAUCAAGAGAUUUAUAUCAUGUGUGGAAAACUUGUAAAUUGCAAAUCUAUAACAAGAUAUUUAAUUAUAUUUAUACAGGGAAGGCAGUUGGAAUGUCUCUGCAGUGUAGGAUACAGUUUAAUUAGGGUACACCAUAAAAGGAAAUUAUUUUUUGAGUCAAACGGCAAGAGCUCUGCCAAUACAUGGUCCAACUUAGAACCAGUCAAAUCCUCCACGGUCAGUAGCAUGGAGAAAAAAAAAGGCUGCGUACCUGCUCAUUUUGGACUGACUGCAUGAUGCAUACAAGCAUGAAGUUUCAUAGAACUUGCCUAACCCUGGAUUCAUCCUCAGUUUUGUUCAAACGUCAAUGAAUGAUGGAGAUGUGGAAAGAAUUUGGAACAUCUGGACAGAUCGCAUCUUGGCAGAUCCUUCAAAGAUAUUGAUUUGAGUGUACACACCAAGUCAAAAUCUUCGUUUUCUCCUCUAGCAAAUCAUUGAUAUUUAUAAGCAGCUCAGCUCAGUGAGUAGCUUCUUGCAUAUUCUUGCAUUCUUUUUCCUCUCCAAGAUCAGGGCAGUGCCAUCCAACGAGGGCAAGAUGGAUCUGGUCACCGGUCAGGCCGCCACCGUCGCGCAGCUCGUCGGAGUGGACGCCUACGGCCUGAUCAAGAUGAUCGCCGAGGCGGCGCAGACGGUGCGGCGGAACAGGGCGACUUGCCACCAGCUCGCCCGGCGGGUCAGAAUGAUCGGCAACCUGCUGAGGCAUCUCCACGGCGCGCAGCUGAUGCAGCAGCCGGAGACGAGGGACCCGGUGGAGCAGCUGGAGGAGACGCUCCGGCGAGCGUACCUGCUGGUCCGGUCAUGCCAGGGCCGGAGUUACCUGUACCGAUGCUUCAUGGGAGGCCGGCACGCCGACGAGCUCCGGGACGUGCAGAGUGAGAUCACCUUCUACCUCCAGCUCUUCCCUCUCAUCAGCUAUGUCGAUGUUACACUCAACUGGGUGAGGCAUCUGAACAAAGCCGAUCCAUCCUGCAAAGAGGCACCUUUGGUAAGACCAUGUUUUGUGCCAUUUGAGUUUGUGUCAUGGGAUGGAUCGUGCUUAUUAGCAGUUGUUCAGAGAGUACACCUUGGUAUAGUGUACACAUGGUUCAUAUCUCUUACGUUUAUAUCUACUCAACUAUCUGCAGAUCUUUCACAUGUGUCUGCAGGAGUUAAAUUGUUGCCUGGCUGACGUUUCCUUUUGACAUGAUUUCAUUCAUUCAAACGAUUGACAGACAUCUUAACUAGCUAGUACACACUAUUUCUGAAAGUGCUAGCUAGUGCACUAUUGUGGUUCUUCUUUAUCAGCUAAGUGCUUUUGCUUUUGGAGAAUUUGGCCUAGAGUAAAGUUCAGCUGCACCUGAUCCAAACAACAAGUACUGUAAGUCAAUCUUUGAUGUGUACUGAAUAGGUAGUUUUUAUCUUCUUUUUUCACAUGGAAGAACAGAACAGAGUUGCAAACUAACUAACUCUUGGAUAUUCCCUUCUAUCAUCCAAGUUUCUCAAUGUCUAGUUUGCAUCGAAAACUUACAUUUUGGAUCAUCAGGAUUACAAAGUUCCAGGGUUGGAGAGGCAGUUGCCGAUGCUGUUGAAUCAGUCCAUAAGCUCCCCGUCGGAGAGUGAAAACAAGUAAAAGAUAUCUACAUGCUUGAGUAGAUCAGGUUCCACAGCUAGGUUUGUGUUUUUUCUCACAUGAGCUUAAAGGUUCUCUCAGAUAUGCAUUAUAUUUGUGUAUAUACUGAAUAAUAUAGGGGAUCCACUUAAUUGGUCGUAGCAUAGUGCAAUAAUUAUGCUUAAUACUUCUUACUUAUACUCCAUGAUGAAAUUAGUUUAUCUUAUAGAAAAUUCAACUGUAUGUAUUGUGAACUUGUCUUUUAAUCAUUCGUCACACU